CCCUUAGAUGUUCUGGGCUGCACGCGCGCUACACUGAAGCGUUCAACGAGUAUUCACCUUGCCCGGGAGGGUUGGGUAAUCUUUUGAAAACGCUUCGUGAUGGGGAUAGAUUAUUGCAAUUAUUAAUCUUCAACGAGGAAUUCCUAGUAAGCGCGAGUCAUCAGCUCGUGCUGAUUACGUCCCUGCCCUUUGUACACACCGCCCGUCGCCCCUACCGAUUGAGUGAUCCGGUGAAUAAUUCGGACUGCAGCACUGCUUGGUCUCCAGGCUUUGCAGCGGAAAGUUUAGUGAACCUUAUCACUUAGAGGAAGGAGAANUCGUANCA
RNAcentral lists this ribosomal RNA (325 nucleotides) under uncultured eukaryote. Its description in RNAcentral is "partial 18S ribosomal RNA". It matches the Rfam family "Eukaryotic small subunit ribosomal RNA", at positions 1470 to 1796 of the family's 1831-position model. The record is from RNAcentral.